Molecule: ribosomal RNA, 2904 nt
Filed under: Pectobacterium carotovorum
Lineage: Bacteria; Pseudomonadati; Pseudomonadota; Gammaproteobacteria; Enterobacterales; Pectobacteriaceae
Description: 23S ribosomal RNA
Rfam family: Bacterial large subunit ribosomal RNA
Source: RNAcentral
GGUUAAGCGACUAAGCGUACACGGUGGAUGCCUAGGCAGUCAGAGGCGAUGAAGGGCGUGCUAAUCUGCGAUAAGCGUCGGUAAGCUGAUAUGAAGCGUUAUACCCGACGAUACCCGAAUGGGGAAACCCAGUGUGUUUCGACACACUAUCAUUAUGUGAAUACAUAGCGUAAUGAGGCGAACCGGGGGAACUGAAACAUCUCAGUACCCCGAGGAAAAGAAAUCAACCGAGAUUCCCCUAGUAGCGGCGAGCGAACGGGGAGGAGCCCAGAACCUGAAUCAGUUUGUGUGUUAGUGGAAGCGUCUGGAAAGUCGCACAGUAAAGGGUGAUAGUCCCGUACACAAAAAUGCACAAAUUGUGAGUUCGAUGAGUAGGGCGGGACACGUGACAUCCUGUCUGAAUAUGGGAGAUCAUCCUCCAAGGCUAAAUACUCCUGACUGACCGAUAGUGAACCAGUACCGUGAGGGAAAGGCGAAAAGAACCCCGGCGAGGGGAGUGAAAUAGAACCUGAAACCGUGUACGUACAAGCAGUGGGAGCCUACUUGUUAGGUGACUGCGUACCUUUGUAUAAUGGGUCAGCGACUUAUAUUCUGUAGCAAGGUUAACCGUAUAGGGGAGCCGCAGGGAAACCGAGUCUUAACUGGGCGUUAAGUUGCAGGGUAUAGACCCGAAACCCGGUGAUCUAGCCAUGGGCAGGUUGAAGGUUGGGUAACACUAACUGGAGGAAUGAACCGACUAAUGUUGAAAAAUUAGCGGAUGACUUGUGGCUGGGGGUGAAAGGCCAAUCAAACCGGGAGAUAGCUGGUUCUCCCCGAAAGCUAUUUAGGUAGCGCCUCGUGAAUUCAUCUUCGGGGGUAGAGCACUGUUUCGGCUAGGGGGUCAUCCCGACUUACCAACCCGAUGCAAACUACGAAUACCGAAGAAUGUUAUCACGGGAGACACACGGCGGGUGCUAACGUUCGUCGUGAAGAGGGAAACAACCCAGACCGCCAGCUAAGGUCCCAAAGUCAUGGUUAAGUGGGAAACGAUGUGGGAAGGCACAGACAGCCAGGAUGUUGGCUUAGAAGCAGCCAUCAUUUAAAGAAAGCGUAAUAGCUCACUGGUCGAGUCGGCCUGCGCGGAAGAUGUAACGGGGCUAAACCAUGCACCGAAGCUGCGGCAGCGACGCUUAGGCGUUGUUGGGUAGGGGAGCGUUCUGUAAGCCGUCGAAGGUGGCCUGUGAGGGCUGCUGGAGGUAUCAGAAGUGCGAAUGCUGACAUAAGUAACGAUAAUGCGGGUGAAAAACCCGCACGCCGGAAGACCAAGGGUUCCUGUCCAACGUUAAUCGGGGCAGGGUGAGUCGACCCCUAAGGCGAGGCUGAAAAGCGUAGUCGAUGGGAAACAGGUUAAUAUUCCUGUACUCGGUGUUACUGCGAAGGGGGGACGGAGAAAGCUAGGUUAUCCGGGCGACGGUUGUCCCGGUUUAAGCGUGAAGGUGGAUGACUUUGGUAAAUCCGGGUCAUUAUUAACACUGAGGCGUGAUGACGAGUCACUACGGUGAUGAAGUAACCGAUGCUACGCUUCCAGGAAAAGCCUCUAAGCUCCAGGUAACAUCAAAUCGUACCCCAAACCGACACAGGUGGUCAGGUAGAGAAUACUCAGGCGCUUGAGAGAACUCGGGUGAAGGAACUAGGCAAAAUGGUGCCGUAACUUCGGGAGAAGGCACGCUGAUGGUAGGUGAAGUGACUUGCUCAUGGAGCUGAAAUCAGUCGAAGAUACCAGCUGGCUGCAACUGUUUAAUAAAAACACAGCACUGUGCAAACACGAAAGUGGACGUAUACGGUGUGACGCCUGCCCGGUGCCGGAAGGUUAAUUGAUGGGGUCAGCCGCAAGGCGAAGCUCUUGAUCGAAGCCCCGGUAAACGGCGGCCGUAACUAUAACGGUCCUAAGGUAGCGAAAUUCCUUGUCGGGUAAGUUCCGACCUGCACGAAUGGCGUAAUGAUGGCCAGGCUGUCUCCACCCGAGACUCAGUGAAAUUGAACUCGCUGUGAAGAUGCAGUGUACCCGCGGCAAGACGGAAAGACCCCGUGAACCUUUACUAUAGCUUGACACUGAACCUUGAGCCUUGAUGUGUAGGAUAGGUGGGAGGCUUUGAAGCGUGGACGCCAGUCUGCGUGGAGCCAACCUUGAAAUACCACCCUUUAAUGUUUGAUGUUCUAACGUGGUCCGUAAUCCGGGUUGCGGACAGUGUCUGGUGGGUAGUUUGACUGGGGCGGUCUCCUCCCAAAGCGUAACGGAGGAGCACGAAGGUUAGCUAAUCCUGGUCGGACAUCAGGAGGUUAGUGCAAAGGCAUAAGCUAGCUUGACUGCGAGAGUGACAGCUCGAGCAGGUGCGAAAGCAGGUCUUAGUGAUCCGGUGGUUCUGAAUGGAAGGGCCAUCGCUCAACGGAUAAAAGGUACUCCGGGGAUAACAGGCUGAUACCGCCCAAGAGUUCAUAUCGACGGCGGUGUUUGGCACCUCGAUGUCGGCUCAUCACAUCCUGGGGCUGAAGUAGGUCCCAAGGGUAUGGCUGUUCGCCAUUUAAAGUGGUACGCGAGCUGGGUUUAGAACGUCGUGAGACAGUUCGGUCCCUAUCUGCCGUGGGCGUUGGAAGAUUGAGAGGGGUUGCUCCUAGUACGAGAGGACCGGAGUGAACGCACCACUGGUGUACGGGUUGUGAUGCCAAUUGCAUUGCCCGGUAGCUAAGUGCGGAAGAGAUAACCGCUGAAAGCAUCUAAGCGGGAAACUUGCCUCGAGAUGAGUCUUCCCUGGGCACUAGAUGCCCCUGAAGGGCCGUUGAAGACGACGACGUAGAUAGGCUGGGUGUGUAAGCGUAGCGAUACGUUGAGCUAACCAGUACUAAUGACCCGAGAGGCUUAACCUU